CCUACGGGAGGCAGCAGUGGGGAAUAUUGGACAAUGGGCGAAAGCCUGAUCCAGCAAUGCCGCGUGCAGGAUGAAGGCCUUCGGGUUGUAAACUGCUUUUGUACGGAACGAAAAAGCUUCUCCUAAUACGAGAGGCCCAUGACGGUACCGUAAGAAUAAGCACCGGCUAACUACGUGCCAGCAGCCGCGGUAAUACGUAGGGUGCGAGCGUUAAUCGGAAUUACUGGGCGUAAAGCGUGCGCAGGCGGUUAUGUAAGACAGAUGUGAAAUCCCCGGGCUCAACCUGGGAACUGCAUUUGUGACUGCAUGGCUAGAGUACGGUAGAGGGGGAUGGAAUUCCGCGUGUAGCAGUGAAAUGCGUAGAUAUGCGGAGGAACACUGAUGGCGAAGGCAAUCCCCUGGACCUGUACUGACGCUCAUGCACGAAAGCGUGGGGAGCAAACAGGAUUAGAUACCCUGGUAGUCCACGCCCUAAACGAUGUCAACUGGUUGUUGGGAAUUAGUUUUCUCAGUAACGAAGCUAACGCGUGAAGUUGACCGCCUGGGGAGUACGGCCNCAAGGUUG
This 565-nucleotide ribosomal RNA is filed under the name uncultured bacterium. RNAcentral describes it as "bacterial SSU rRNA". It matches the Rfam family "Bacterial small subunit ribosomal RNA", at positions 338 to 896 of the family's 1533-position model. The record is from RNAcentral.